RNAcentral lists this non-coding RNA (321 nucleotides) under Staphylococcus aureus subsp. aureus NCTC 8325. RNAcentral's name for it is "Staphylococcus sRNA 35 (srn_0335)". It matches the Rfam family "Staphylococcus sRNA 35 (srn_0335)". Rfam says of the family: Other name: Srn_0335, SAOUHSCs258. Northern blot transcript confirmed in exponentially growing and stationary cells in three cultivation media. Lineage: Bacteria; Bacillati; Bacillota; Bacilli; Caryophanales; Staphylococcaceae. The record is from Rfam by way of RNAcentral.
UAUUUUGGAAAGUGAGUGAGACAUAGUGUGAUAAAGAAAAAAUAUUUCUUUAUCGUUGUACCCCAACUUGCAUUGCCUGUAGAAAUUGUAGAUCCAAUUUCUCUAUGUUGGGGCCCCGCCAACCUGCACAUUAUCGUAAGCUGACUUUUCGUCAGCUUCUGUGUUGGGGCCCCGCCAACCUGCAUUGCCUGUAGAAUUUCUUUUUUGAAAUUCUCUAUGUUGGGGCCCCGGACUAUAAUUGAAAAAUGCUUGUUACAAGUGCAUUUUAUUUCAGUCAACUACUAACAAUAUAACAUUGUGGAGCCCAGAACUUUGAUUAAU